Acyrthosiphon pisum (pea aphid) is the source of this 210-nucleotide non-coding RNA. The record is from Rfam. Lineage: Eukaryota; Metazoa; Arthropoda; Insecta; Hemiptera; Aphididae.
AAGAUCAUACUUCACAGGAUCAUUUCUGUAGUAUGCAUCGUCCCCUCCAGGUGCAAAUCUGGAGUCGUCAUUGGCCACGAUGAUGAGACAUCGUCCAUGUGCCGGAGCGUGAGACGGCUGGUGGUCUACUGCUCAACGCAGCCCGACUAUUCAGCGACGAUGAUCGCAACUAGCUCUUGAGCUAGGAGGUACGUGGACAGUCUGAGUGGU